UGCAAGUCGAACGGUGAAGCAGGAGCUUGCUCUUGUGGAUCAGUGGCGAACGGGUGAGUAACACGUGAGCAACCUGCCCCGGACUCUGGGAUAAGCGCUGGAAACGGCGUCUAAUACCGGAUAUGCAUCAGAAUCGCAUGGUUACUGGUGGGAAAGAUUUUUUGGUUCGGGAUGGGCUCGCGGCCUAUCAGCUUGUUGGUGAGGUAAUGGCUCACCAAGGCGUCGACGGGUAGCCGGCCUGAGAGGGUGACCGGCCACACUGGGACUGAGACACGGCCCAGACUCCUACGGGAGGCAGCAGUGGGGAAUAUUGCACAAUGGGCGGAAGCCUGAUGCAGCAACGCCGCGUGAGGGAUGACGGCCUUCGGGUUGUAAACCUCUUUUAGCAGGGAAGAAGCGAGAGUGACGGUACCUGCAGAAAAAGCGCCGGCUAACUACGUGCCAGCAGCCGCGGUAAUACGUAGGGCGCAAGCGUUAUCCGGAAUUAUUGGGCGUAAAGAGCUCGUAGGCGGUUUGUCGCGUCUGCUGUGAAAUCCCGAGGCUCAACCUCGGGUCUGCAGUGGGUACGGGCAGACUAGAGUGCGGUAGGGGAGAUUGGAAUUCCUGGUGUAGCGGUGGAAUGCGCAGAUAUCAGGAGGAACACCGAUGGCGAAGGCAGAUCUCUGGGCCGUAACUGACGCUGAGGAGCGAAAGGGUGGGGAGCAAACAGGCUUAGAUACCCUGGUAGUCCACCCCGUAAACGUUGGGAACUAGUUGUGGGGGCCUUUCCACGGUCUCCGUGACGCAGCUAACGCAUUAAGUUCCCCGCCUGGGGAGUACGGCCGCAAGGCUAAAACUCAAAGGAAUUGACGGGGACCCGCACAAGCGGCGGAGCAUGCGGAUUAAUUCGAUGCAACGCGAAGAACCUUACCAAGGCUUGACAUAUAGAGGAAAGUUCUGGAAACAGUUCCCCCGCAAGGUCUCUAUACAGGUGGUGCAUGGUUGUCGUCAGCUCGUGUCGUGAGAUGUUGGGUUAAGUCCCGCAACGAGCGCAACCCUCGUUCUAUGUUGCCAGCACGUAAUGGUGGGAACUCAUGG
RNAcentral lists this ribosomal RNA (1077 nucleotides) under Microbacterium sp. RNAcentral's name for it is "bacterial SSU rRNA". It matches the Rfam family "Bacterial small subunit ribosomal RNA", at positions 56 to 1144 of the family's 1533-position model. Lineage: Bacteria; Bacillati; Actinomycetota; Actinomycetes; Micrococcales; Microbacteriaceae. The record is from RNAcentral.